AGUGAACGCUGGCGGUAGGCCUAACACAUGCAAGUCGAACGGCAGCACAGUAAGAGCUUGCUCUUACGGGUGGCGAGUGGCGGACGGGUGAGGAAUACAUCGGAAUCUACUUUUUCGUGGGGGAUAACGUAGGGAAACUUACGCUAAUACCGCAUACGACCUACGGGUGAAAGCAGGGGAUCUUCGGACCUUGCGCGAUUGAAUGAGCCGAUGUCGGAUUAGCUAGUUGGCGGGGUAAAGGCCCACCAAGGCGACGAUCCGUAGCUGGUCUGAGAGGAUGAUCAGCAACACUGGACCUGAGACACGGUCCAGACUCCUACGGGAGGCAGCAGUCGAGAAUAUUGGACACUGGGCGCAAGCCUGAUCCAGCCAUACCGCGUGGGUGAAGAAGACCUUCGGGUUGUAAAUCCCUUUUGUUGGGAAAGAAAAGCAGCAGGCUAAUACCCCGCUGUUCUGACGGUACCCAAUGAAUAAGCACCGGCUAACUUCGUG
Molecule: ribosomal RNA, 492 nt
Filed under: uncultured bacterium
Lineage: Bacteria
Description: partial 16S ribosomal RNA
Rfam family: Bacterial small subunit ribosomal RNA
Source: RNAcentral